UUGGUGAUAUUACAAGUUUUAUUUAGUAUGGGUAAGGUCCUUGAUUGUGGUACAGUGGGUGCCUUAUCUAGUUUAUAUAAUCCUCCUCGUAAACUCCUAAUGGUCAGCACUUCAUAGGUUAGAAGGUCCUGCAAAAUGCAUUAAUUAUGAGAGAAUUGAACAGAAAUUUGUGAGUGUUUGGUCAAUUUACUCAUAGAGAGUUGGUUAUAUUUGAAAUUUGGAGUGUACAGAACUUCAUUCAAGAUAAUUUUAGGGUUCAGUAAGACCCUUCAAAAAUAUGCUAUUGUAUUAUUUUUCCCAUCUGGAAAAAAAAUAGCACUGGUAUUAUCUAACUUAGCGGGUUGAGAAAGAGAGAAAUUAUGACACAUGAAUUAUAGCUUCUAUGUCUAUUACCCAAGUUCCAGAGUCUAUAUAAUUUUUACUAAAAGUGUAGCAAUUAGUGUUAGAACCUGCAAAGUCAUUGUAGCUUAUACAACUUGCCUCAUUGAUGCUUGUACUAGGUUGAUUUUCUUUCAUGUAUUUCAGGAUUUCAUGUUGAAUUUGCGGCAUAUUUGCCAUGUUCAUAUUCUAGUCUUGCUUCUAUGUACCUUUUCCAUCAAAAGGAGUUUCAGUAUGUUGCAUUACAUUUGCUGCAAUAGCUUCCUCCUUUCUUUUCUGCUUCAUCUCUGUAAACUACUCUAGAUAACCAUGAAUUUUAAAGCAAGUAUCCUUGAUAUGUCAAAUAGAGUUGCAGUGAGUGAAUACUUUGUCUUCUUUUCUUCCUUGCAUCCUCUUCUUAUAAUAAACCUUUCCUCUAUCAUUUCUUUGAACAUGAACAAUAGUAAGUGCAGUAUUAAGGUCAUGACUAGAGCUAUUAGUGACUUCCCUUUAUUUUUCAACUCUUAGCACCAUUGAACGUGCUUUGUUAUUACUUGGCAAGAUAUCCAUUAGUAAAAUCCGAUUCCUCAUGUGAUCAUAAUUAUCAUUCAGUCCCAUUAGAAACUGAAUCAGUCUAUCUUCACUAUCAAGCUCACACAUAGUUUUUGAUGCACAACAGUUGCCUAGAUGAUAUGAACUAAAACAUGCAAGUCCAUCUCCUUUUGGCAGCUCGCACUUACCAUAAUAAAGCCUAGUUUGUCCUUUGCUUUCAGAGCAAUCACUAUGGUUAUGGUUCUGCUCCAGGAGAGGUUGUUGCUGCCAUCCAAGGGCAGUCACCAUGGUCACACCGGAAUGGUCUGGGUUCAAUAGUUUCAACAUGUCUUUCACAGCUUUGUUGCCUGCAUCAGUGGUUUUGGUGUUAGAGGCAUAGCCUUCUUGGUUGGUAAUUUCUGCCAUUGAAAGCCAAACAGAAGAAAAAUAAGUUUUCUGGAUAGGGCAAUAGAAAUCAGUAGCAUAAGUAGUGCUAUAAUACCGUGUAAAACAAUGUAUUGGUAGAAAAAAUAGCUUAAUAAUUUCUUUCUUAUUUGUGUGAAUUACAUGGGUGUCAUAUACAGAUCUCAGAAACUUCUGGAAUAAGAGAAAAGAAAAAUCUAGGCUAUUCUAUAAUUCGUUACAACAGAAUGCACAGCUAUACAGGGAGAAGAGAAAAGUAGCUCUUGUGAGAUUUCUCGUGAGUCAAAAUGUUCUGAACAUUUUGAACACAUCGACCCAUAAUGUUGAGAAAUCUUCCAGCUUUAGCUUUUUCUUUCAAAGUGCUCUGUUUUUC
RNAcentral lists this long non-coding RNA (1684 nucleotides) under Manihot esculenta (cassava). RNAcentral's name for it is "long non-coding RNA (MESC_LNC003978)". The record is from RNAcentral. Lineage: Eukaryota; Viridiplantae; Streptophyta; Magnoliopsida; Malpighiales; Euphorbiaceae.